AACGAACGCUGGCGGCAGGCCUAACACAUGCAAGUCGAGCGCUUCCUUCGGGAAGAGCGGCGGACGGGUUAGUAACGCGUGGGAACGUGCCCUUCUCUAAGGAUAGCCACUGGAAACGUGAGUAAUACCUUAUACGCCCUUCGGGGGAAAGAUUUAUCGGAGAAGGAUCGGCCCGCGUUAGAUUAGAUAGUUGGUGGGUAACGCCUACCAAGUCUACGAUCUAUAGCUGGUUUUAGAGGAUGAUCAGCAACACUGGACUGAGACACGGCCCAGACUCCUACGGGAGGCAGC
Molecule: ribosomal RNA, 291 nt
Filed under: uncultured bacterium
Lineage: Bacteria
Description: partial 16S ribosomal RNA
Rfam family: Bacterial small subunit ribosomal RNA
Source: RNAcentral